RNAcentral lists this ribosomal RNA (493 nucleotides) under uncultured bacterium. Its description in RNAcentral is "bacterial SSU rRNA". It matches the Rfam family "Bacterial small subunit ribosomal RNA", at positions 903 to 1397 of the family's 1533-position model. The record is from RNAcentral.
AAAGGAAUAGACGGGGACCCGCACAAGCGGUGGAGCAUGUGGUUUAAUUCGAAGCAACGCGAAGAACCUUACCAGGUCUUGACAUCCUUUGACCGCCCUAGAGAUAGGGUCUUCCCUUCGGGGACAAAGUGACAGGUGGUGCAUGGUUGUCGUCAGCUCGUGUCGUGAGAUGUUGGGUUAAGUCCCGCAACGAGCGCAACCCUUAUUACUAGUUGCCAGCAUUCAGUUGGGCACUCUAGUGAGACUGCCGGUGACAAACCGGAGGAAGGUGGGGAUGACGUCAAAUCAUCAUGCCCCUUAUGACCUGGGCUACACACGUGCUACAAUGGAUGGUACAACGAGUCGCAAACCCGCGAGGGCAAGCAAAUCUCUGAAAGCCAUUCUCAGUUCGGAUUGUAGGCUGCAACUCGCCUACAUGAAGCCGGAAUCGCUAGUAAUCGCGGAUCAGCACGCCGCGGUGAAUACGUUCCCGGGUCUUGUACACACCGCCCGU